RNAcentral lists this long non-coding RNA (1003 nucleotides) under Cricetulus griseus (Chinese hamster). RNAcentral's name for it is "lncRNA (ENSCGRG00015041494.1)". Lineage: Eukaryota; Metazoa; Chordata; Mammalia; Rodentia; Cricetidae. The record is from RNAcentral.
GCGCAAGCCCCGCCCACACACUCCCUAGCUGCCUGUGCCAACCAAACUGCUCCACGUGCGUCCCGGGUGUCAUCCGCAAGACAGUGGGUCGCGAUCCCCAGAACCCCUGUUACCACGAUGCUAAUAGAUGCCAAGGUGCGGAUGUGACUCUUCCCCGAGCUUCGAGGAGCCCCCAGCAGUACCUGAAAGGGGCGUGUGGCGACUGCGGAAAAGUGGCCUGUAGUGGGCGGGACCGCGGCACCUGACUCAGGUGUGUGAUCGGGAACUGCAGGCGACGUCGGGCGGCGCCUUCAGAAGUCGUACUAUCCAGUCUCUCCAGAGACCGAGAAUGUCUUCGGGAUACCAACCUCGUCCCUCUCUAGCCCAGAGAAGACCCUCCUCGCCCAGUUUCAGCCCGCGGGCUGCGCUCUUCUUUUCGGCCACCGGAGGGAGCCCUGAGCCCCCAUCCAGGCGCAGGUCCGGGUGGAUUUGUAGGCAACCCUUCCUGCUUUUGUGCCUGUCGGCGAAGAUCGUAAAACUGUGAGCCUUUCCCAACCCUUACAGGUCUCACCAACGGCGUUUCCUCAUCUAUAAAACGGGACUUAACGCCAACAUCCCUCCCAAAAGCGCAGUUGAGAGACGACCUAAUCAUGGAUACUCCUUUUGUGUGUGAGGGGCAGGGGGUCCUCAUGUAGGCCGGCCUAGCCCUCUCAAUUCGCUGAGUAGUUAAGGAGGACUUUGUGCUUCUGAUCCUCCUGCCUCCACCUCCUCUGUGUUGGGAUUACAGGCCAGGCGCCUCCCGGCCCCGUCUCAGCUCGGCCCAGCCUGUCUCCCUCCCUCCCGCUCGGUCCCCGCUUGGCUUCCACCCUCGUCGACCGCGACCCGCGCACUCAGCCCGGCGGCGCGAGAGCCACCAAGUACGCAACGGAGCGAGGGAGAUCGCGAGCAAUCGGCCCACCCCAGUCAGCCAGGGCGGGACCCCCGAAGCCCCGGAGGGACCCCUAACUCUCAGCCACGUCCCGAU